CACACUGGGACUGAGACACGGCCCAGACUCCUACGGGAGGCAGCAGUAGGGAAUCUUCCGCAAUGGACGAAAGUCUGACGGAGCAACGCCGCGUGAGUGAUGAAGGUUUUCGGAUCGUAAAGCUCUGUUGUUAGGGAAGAACAAGUACCGUUCGAAUAGGGCGGUACCUUGACGGUACCUAACCAGAAAGCCACGGCUAACUACGUGCCAGCAGCCGCGGUAAUACGUAGGUGGCAAGCGUUGUCCGGAAUUAUUGGGCGUAAAGGGCUCGCAGGCGGUUUCUUAAGUCUGAUGUGAAAGCCCCCGGCUCAACCGGGGAGGGUCAUUGGAAACUGGGGAACUUGAGUGCAGCNGAGGAGAGUGGAAUUCCACGUGUAGCGGUGAAAUGCGUAGAGAUGUGGAGGAACACCAGUGGCGAAGGCGACUCUCUGGUCUGUAACUGACGCUGAGGAGCGAAAGCGUGGGGAGCGAACAGGAUUAGAUACCCUGGUAGUCCACGCCGUAAACGAUGAGUGCUAAGUGUUAGGGGGUUUCCGCCCCUUAGUGCUGCAGCUAACGCAUUAAGCACUCC
RNAcentral lists this ribosomal RNA (571 nucleotides) under Bacillus sp. Pd-E-(s)-m-N-1(2). RNAcentral's name for it is "bacterial SSU rRNA". It matches the Rfam family "Bacterial small subunit ribosomal RNA", at positions 309 to 870 of the family's 1533-position model. The record is from RNAcentral. Lineage: Bacteria; Bacillati; Bacillota; Bacilli; Caryophanales; Bacillaceae.